AAUAGAUACCCGGGUAGUCCCAGCCGUAAACGAUGUAGAUUAGGUGUUGGGAGAGUCGAUCCUCUCAGCGCCAAAGUUAACACAUUAAAUCUACCACCUGGGGAGUACGGUCGCAAGACUGAAACUCAAAGGAAUUGACGGGGACCCGCACAAGCGGUGGAGCAUGUGGUUUAAUUCGAGGCUACGCGAGGAACCUUACCUAGGCUUGACAAUCUAGAAGUAGUCCUGAUGAAAGUCGGGGCGAUCGUAUCCAAUCGAAGUCUAGUACAGGUGCUGCAUGGCUGUCGUCAGCUCGUGCUGUGAAGUGUUGGGUUAAGUCCCGCAACGAGCGCAACCAUUGCCUUUAGUUACCAGCGAGUAAUGUCGGGGACUCUAAAGGGACUGCCGGUGACAAACCGGAGGAAGGUGGAGAUGACGUCAAGUCAGCAUGGCCCUUACGCCUAGGGCGACACACGUGCUACAAUGGUCAAUACAAAGGGCCGCAAUCCCGCGAGGGGGAGCAAAUCCCAAAAAGUUGACCUCAGUACAGAUUGCAGG
Molecule: ribosomal RNA, 537 nt
Filed under: uncultured bacterium
Lineage: Bacteria
Description: bacterial SSU rRNA
Rfam family: Bacterial small subunit ribosomal RNA
Source: RNAcentral